This is a non-coding RNA of Acanthosepion pharaonis, 96 nucleotides long. Lineage: Eukaryota; Metazoa; Mollusca; Cephalopoda; Sepiida; Sepiidae. The record is from the annotation of a GenBank genome assembly.
UAUACACUGGUUCCCGUAUGUUCACCGAAGUUAAGCAACGUCGAGCCUGGUCAGUACCUAGAUAGGUACCCGCUUCGGAAUACCAGGUGCUGUAAG